RNAcentral lists this ribosomal RNA (406 nucleotides) under uncultured bacterium. Its description in RNAcentral is "partial 16S ribosomal RNA". It matches the Rfam family "Bacterial small subunit ribosomal RNA", at positions 30 to 526 of the family's 1533-position model. The record is from RNAcentral.
AUUGAACGCUGGCGGCAGGCCUAACACAUGCAAGUCGAACGAGUGGCGGACGGGUGAGUAAUGUAUGGGAAACUGCCUGAUGGAGGGGGAAAACUACUGGAAACGGUAGCUAAUACCGCAUACCAUCGGAUGUGCCCAGACGGGAUUAGCUAGUGGGGGUGGUAAAGGCUCACCUGGGCGACGAUCCCUAGCUGGUCUGAGAGGAUGACCAGCCACACUGGAACUGAGACACGGUCCAGACUCCUACGGGAGGCAGCAGUGGGGAAUAUUGGACAAUGGGCGAAAGCCUGAUGCAGCCAUGCCGCGUGUAUGAAGAAGGCCUUCGGGUUGUAAAGUACUUUCAGCGGGGAGGCGUUACCCACAGAAGAAGCACCGGCUAACUCCGUGCCAGCAGCCGCGGUAAUUC